UGCAGGCAUCUACAACAC
Molecule: unclassified non-coding RNA, 18 nt
Filed under: Mus musculus (house mouse)
Lineage: Eukaryota; Metazoa; Chordata; Mammalia; Rodentia; Muridae
Description: oocyte_clustered_small_RNA4731
Source: RNAcentral